GGUCGGACAGCAAAUUAUUGAUCAUAAUAAUUACAUAUUUGUCACUGCAUACGAAGUUCAAUGGUACGUAACUCCUUUACCCAUACAAAGGCUAAUAUUGAUUAUACUGCAAAGAGGUAUUAAAAGUUUUGGCCUGAAAGUCGGUGGAUUGUUUGUAGCGUCCUUAGAAUGUUUUGCCACGUUAAUAAAUGCAUCUGUUUCUUACUUUACUAUUAUGUAUUCAAUGCGAUUAUAACA
Molecule: long non-coding RNA, 237 nt
Organism: Acromyrmex echinatior (Panamanian leafcutter ant)
Lineage: Eukaryota; Metazoa; Arthropoda; Insecta; Hymenoptera; Formicidae
Source: RefSeq, a predicted model, not a curated record